Molecule: ribosomal RNA, 462 nt
Filed under: uncultured eukaryote
Lineage: Eukaryota
Description: bacterial SSU rRNA
Rfam family: Eukaryotic small subunit ribosomal RNA
Source: RNAcentral
ACCACUUCCAAGGAAGGCAGCAGGCGCGCAACUUACCCUAAUCUCGAUUCGAGGAGGUAGUGACAAGAAAUACCGAUGCGGGACCCUACGGGUGCCGCGUUCGGAAUGAGUACGAUUCGAACCAUCUAACGAGGAACGAUCGGAGGGCAAGUCUGGUGCCAGCAGCCGCGGUAAUUCCAGCUCCAAUAGCGUACGUUAAAGUUGCUGCAGUUAAAAAGCUCGUAGUUGAACGUUCGGGUUCCGCGGGACGGGGCCGCCCCGCGAGGGACGGCGCCGCCCCGGGGCUCGUGAUAUCUCAUCUCGCCGCCCGUCGCGAGGCGGACGGAGGGAUGGAUGAGGUUACCUGGAAAAAUCGGGGCGAUCUAGGCGGGCGAACCUCGCCAACGAACGAUCGGACAUGGGGAUAACGGAAGAGGGCGUCGGCUCGACUUCGUCGGUUCCUCGGGCCGAGGCACGUACGGU